AUUGAACGCUGGCGGAAUGCUUUACACAUGCAAGUCGAACGGCAGCACGGACUUCGGUCUGGUGGCGAGUGGCGAACGGGUGAGUAAUGUAUCGGAACGUGCCCAGUCGUGGGGGAUAACGUAGUGAAAAUUACGCUAAUACCGCAUACGAUCUAUGGAUGAAAGCGGGGGAUCGAAAGACCUCGCGCGAUUGGAGCGGCCGAUAUCAGAUUAGGUAGUUGGUGGGGUAAAGGCCCACCAAGCCAACGAUCUGUAGCUGGUCUGAGAGGACGACCCGCCACACUGGAACUGAGACACGGUCCAGACUCCUACGGGAGGCAGCAGUGGGAAAUUUUGGACAAUGGGCGAAAGCCUGAUCCAGCCAUUCCGCGUGCAGGAUGAAGGCCCUCGGGUUGUAAACUGCUUUUGUACAGAACGAAAAGGUUUCUACUAAUACUAGGAGCUCAUGACGGUACUGUAAGAAUAAGCACCGGCUAACUACGUGCCAGCCGCCGCAGUAA
Molecule: ribosomal RNA, 500 nt
Filed under: uncultured bacterium
Lineage: Bacteria
Description: partial 16S ribosomal RNA
Rfam family: Bacterial small subunit ribosomal RNA
Source: RNAcentral